UACGUAGGAGGCAAGCGUUGUCCGGAAUUACUGGGCGUAAAGCGCGUGUAGGUGGUGGGACAAGUCUGCUGUGAAAGCGCCUGGCUUAACCGGGCGAGGUCGGCGGAAACUGUCCGGCUCGAGGACGGUAGAGGGGGGUGGAAUUCCCGGUGUAGUGGUGAAAUGCGUAGAGAUCGGGAGGAACACCUGUGGCGAAGGCGGCCCCCUGGGCCGGCCCUGACACUGAGACGCGAAAGCGUGGGGAGCGAACGGG
Molecule: ribosomal RNA, 253 nt
Filed under: uncultured bacterium
Lineage: Bacteria
Description: partial 16S ribosomal RNA
Rfam family: Bacterial small subunit ribosomal RNA
Source: RNAcentral